CGGCGAGUUGGGGUUCCAGCCACGUAACACCCCCAAACACCCCCCCCAACAGGGAGGGGACGAGUUUAAACAAAGAGAAGAACCGAGACCUUCCUCAUGGGACUCCGCUCCAGACGCACCAGAAGAUACACUUUUUCCAAAAAAAUCCAGGAGCUGCCCUGGUUUAGACCUCCUGUGUCCCCCCCCCAGACCUGUCCCCGGGCAGGGGCUGGUCGGGGGCACCCCAAGGGGCACCGGGCAGAGCCGCCGGCGAGGAGAGCUCAUGGUGGACGGGUGCCAAAGCUUCCCCACAGCAAAAAUCCUUCCUGAGCCCCUGCAGCGCUGCCCGGGACGGAGAGGAGGAGGAUGGCGAUGGCUCCAGAGCGAAGGACUCCUCGGCAGAGCUGAAGGGCUCGAGGAGGAGCGGCCGGGGCUCGGUCGGUCCGAGAAGCCGCGGCGGCGACUCGGUGCUUGGUGGGGAACCGGGCUGUCACCGGGGCCGGGCUGUCACCAGGAGGAGACACACACAAGCUCUUUGCUCUCCAGAGUUCAAGACACCGGGGUUACUGCCCCCAACUGCUUGCCUUCUCACUUUCUACUUUCCCCUCUCAGAGAUAAGGAGCAACUGUAAGGAAAGGAUUUCUUUGGCAUUUCUCCCUGUUAACGGGCAAAGCCCAAGGCCACGAGCCUCACCUCCUCUCCCCGACCACCUCAGGGUCAGAAACACCACCUCGGGCUGCAGAACCAGACGAGAGGCCAAAAAAGCCUUACACCGAGAGGCAGCUUUGUCCUGUGGCUGCGGGGACGUCCAGAGGCAAAAUAUACCGGAUGGGAAGCUCCUGCAAAGCCCCAAACCUCCUCCCGUGCAGAUGCCAGGCCAGAAGCAACAGCCCCCGUCCAGGCUUCUUGGCACCUCGCUCUGGGGGUCAAACCGCCCCGAUUCCCCCCCCCCCGAAAGUCUCAGCUCUGCCUGCAGGGCGGGAGAGGACAAACUCCAAAAGAAACCAGCCAAGUGGGAAGAG
This 1001-nucleotide long non-coding RNA is filed under the name Calidris pygmaea (Spoon-billed sandpiper). RNAcentral's name for it is "lncRNA (ENSCPGG00000005908.1)". Lineage: Eukaryota; Metazoa; Chordata; Aves; Charadriiformes; Scolopacidae. The record is from RNAcentral.